UAGGGAAUUUUGCGCAAUGGGGGGAACCCUGACGCAGCGACGCCGCGUGAGUGACGAAGGCCUUCGGGUCGUAAAACUCUGUCCAUGGGGACGAAGAAAGACGGUACCCGUGGAGGAAGCCCCGGCUAACUACGUGCCAGCAGCCGCGGUAAGACGUAGGGGGCGAGCGUUGUCCGGAAUUACUGGGCGUAAAGGGCGCGUAGGCGGCAAGGUAAGUUAGAUGUGAAAACUCAGAGCUUAACUCCGAGAUUGCAUCUAAAACUGCCUAGCUUGAGUGCAUUAGAGGAGAGCGGAAUUCCUAGUGUAGCGGUGAAAUGCGUAGAUAUUAGGAAGAACACCAGUGGCGAAGGCGGCUCUCUGGGAUGUAACUGACGCUGAGGCGCGAAAGCUGGGGGAGCGAACGGG
This 405-nucleotide ribosomal RNA is filed under the name uncultured bacterium. RNAcentral's name for it is "bacterial SSU rRNA". It matches the Rfam family "Bacterial small subunit ribosomal RNA", at positions 355 to 776 of the family's 1533-position model. The record is from RNAcentral.